CGUAGGUGGCAAGCGUUACUCGGAAUCACUAGGCGUAAAGCGCAGGUAGGCGGUUGGAUAAGUCUGUUGUGAAAGCUCCCGGCUUAACUGGGAGAGGCCAACGGAAACUAUCCGGCUAGAGUGUGGUAGAGGUAGCUGGAAUUCCCGGUGUAGCGGUGAAAUGCGUAGAUAUCGGGAGGAAUACCUAUGGCGAAAGCAGGCUACUGGACCAUCACUGACGCUGAUCUGCGAAAGCUAGGGGAGCAAACAGGAUUAGAUACCCUGGUAGUCCUAGCCCUAAACGAUGCUCAUUAGGUGUGGGAGGUAUCGACCCCUUCCGCGCCGUAGCUAACGCAUUAAAUGAGCCGCCUGGGGAGUACGGCCGCAAGGUUG
This 372-nucleotide ribosomal RNA is filed under the name uncultured organism. Its description in RNAcentral is "bacterial SSU rRNA". It matches the Rfam family "Bacterial small subunit ribosomal RNA", at positions 526 to 896 of the family's 1533-position model. The record is from RNAcentral.